RNAcentral lists this transfer RNA (71 nucleotides) under Podarcis lilfordi (Lilford's wall lizard). RNAcentral describes it as "tRNA.Ala". It matches the Rfam family "tRNA". From Rfam's summary of the family: Transfer RNA (tRNA) molecules are approximately 80 nucleotides in length. Their secondary structure includes four short double-helical elements and three loops (D, anti-codon, and T loops). The record is from RNAcentral. Lineage: Eukaryota; Metazoa; Chordata; Lepidosauria; Squamata; Lacertidae.
GGACCAUAGCUCAGUUGUAGAGCAUCUGCCUUGCAAGUAGAAGGUACCAGGUUCAAUCCCUGGUAUUUCCA